GACGAACGCUGGCGGCGUGCUUAACACAUGCAAGUCGAACGGAAAGGCCCUGCUUUUGUGGGGUGCUCGAGUGGCGAACGGGUGAGUAACACGUGAGUAACCUGCCCUUGACUUUGGGAUAACUUCAGGAAACUGGGGCUAAUACCGGAUAGGAGCUCCUGCUGCAUGGUGGGGGUUGGAAAGUUUCGGCGGUUGGGGAUGGACUCGCGGCUUAUCAGCUUGUUGGUGGGGUAGUGGCUUACCAAGGCUUUGACGGGUAGCCGGCCUGAGGGGGUGACCGGGCCGUUUGGGGCCUGAGAGCGGGCCGGCCCUCCUAGGGGGGGCAGCAGGGGGGAAUUUUGCACAGGGGGCGGAGGUCGGAUGCAGCAGCCCCGGGUGGGGGAGGCCGGCUUCGGGUUUGAAAACCGCUUUCGCCGGUGACGAAGCGGGAGGGGGGGUAAGGGAUAAAAAAGCCCCGGCUACCUCCGUC
Molecule: ribosomal RNA, 469 nt
Filed under: uncultured bacterium
Lineage: Bacteria
Description: partial 16S ribosomal RNA
Rfam family: Bacterial small subunit ribosomal RNA
Source: RNAcentral